This 87-nucleotide transfer RNA is filed under the name Planctomycetota bacterium. Its description in RNAcentral is "tRNA-Pro". It matches the Rfam family "tRNA". From Rfam's summary of the family: Transfer RNA (tRNA) molecules are approximately 80 nucleotides in length. Their secondary structure includes four short double-helical elements and three loops (D, anti-codon, and T loops). Lineage: Bacteria; Pseudomonadati; Planctomycetota. The record is from RNAcentral.
GCUCCUAUGGUGAAAUCGGUAGACACGCUGCAUUUGGACUGCGGUGACGAUUAUAUCGUCGUUCGGGUUCGAGUCCCGAUAGGGGCA